Long non-coding RNA from Leopardus geoffroyi (Geoffroy's cat), 306 nucleotides. RefSeq lists it as uncharacterized. The transcript is spliced from 3 exons. NCBI's taxonomy places the organism in Eukaryota, Metazoa, Chordata, Mammalia, Carnivora, Felidae. The record is from RefSeq and is a predicted model, not a curated record.
CUUUCUCAUUGCCAAGUGGUAUUCCAUUGUAUGUAAAGCCUUGGAUUGUGUGUAACCUGUUCUGUGAGUGUUCCACAAGAUGAGUAAACAUUUCUAAUAAAUUUUAACUUGAUAAACGAGUGAUGUCUUGUAAUAUGAGUAGUCUGUGAUGCCAAAUGUCACAUGAUCACAAAUGAGCCAAUGGUUCUCUCUCUCUUGCUGGGGGAUUGUGGGUGACCAUCUCCCAUGCUCAGAUGCUGGGUCUCAGGCUGCUGUGUUUGGCAGAGAUCAGUGAUUUUUGCAGAACAUCAGAAAGUACCCACGACA